Molecule: ribosomal RNA, 460 nt
Filed under: uncultured bacterium
Lineage: Bacteria
Description: partial 16S ribosomal RNA
Rfam family: Bacterial small subunit ribosomal RNA
Source: RNAcentral
CCUACGGGAGGCAGCAGUGAGGAAUAUUGGUCAAUGGACGAGAGUCUGAACCAGCCAAGUAGCGUGAAGGAUGACUGCCCUAUGGGUUGUAAACUUCUUUUAUAUGGGAAUAAAAUGUUCCACGUGUGGGAUUUUGUAUGUACCAUAUGAAUAAGGAUCGGCUAACUCCGUGCCAGCAGCCGCGGUAAUACGGAGGAUCCGAGCGUUAUCCGGAUUUAUUGGGUUUAACGGGAGCGUAGGUGGAUUGUUAAGUCAGUUGUGAAAGUUUGCGGCUCAACCGUAAAAUUGCAGUUGAAACUGGCAGUCUUGAGUACAGUAGAGGUGGGCGGAAUUCGUGGUGUAGCGGUGAAAUGCUUAGAUAUCACGAAGAACUCCGAUUGCGAAGGCAGCUCACUGGACUGCAACUGACGUUGAGGCCCGAAAGCGUGGGGAGCAAACAGGAUUAGAUACCCCUGUAGUC